AAAGACUGACGCUCAUGCACGAAAGCGUGGGGAUCAAACAGGAUUAGAUACCCUGGUAGUCCACGCUGUAAACGAUGAUCACUCGUUGUUGGCGAUAUACUGUCAGCGACUGAGCGAAAGCAUUAAGUGAUCCACCUGGGGAGUACGGCGGCAACGUUGAAACUCAAAGGAAUUGACGGGGGCCCGCACAAGCGGAGGAGCAUGUGGUUUAAUUCGAUGAUACGCGAGGAACCUUACCUGGGCUUAAAUGCAGGACGACGUUUCGUGAAAACGGAAUUUCCUUCGGGACGUCUUGCAAGGUGCUGCAUGGUUGUCGUCAGCUCGUGCCGUGAGGUGUCGGGUUAAGUCCCAUAACGAGCGCAACCCUUAUCAUUAGUUGCCAUCAAGUCAUGCUGGGAACUCUAAUGAAACUGCCUACGCAAGUAGUGAGGAAGGUGGGGACGACGUCAAGUCAUCAUGGCCCUUACGAGUAGGGCUACACACGUGCUACAAUGGCGAGUACAGAGGGUUGCGAA
This 515-nucleotide ribosomal RNA is filed under the name uncultured bacterium. RNAcentral describes it as "bacterial SSU rRNA". It matches the Rfam family "Bacterial small subunit ribosomal RNA", at positions 735 to 1253 of the family's 1533-position model. The record is from RNAcentral.